CUUCACAGCAUAGCUAACGGCUAGGCUGCUAUCAUCCCCUAUUCCUGCUCGUCCUGAGAAAACUCUAUAAACAACACAGUGUGGAUUAUUGGUGACUUGUCCGUCGAGGUGCCCAGAGAGCUGCAGAGACAGAGGAAGAAACCUGAGUCUCAACAAAAUCUGCAUUUGUUGGUUCUUCUGGGGUGGACUUUGGUUGCUUCUCUUCAACAGCUCGCUGCGAGGGAGGUCUCCCCCGGAUGGCCUGAGUGAUGUCACCCACAGGCUGAGAGCUGAGGCUGAGGCGUGUUUUAAACCUCUUGACAAAACGUUACACCGCACCCGCCUGUCAAGCUGGUCAGCUACACGCCUUAUUGUGAAUAACUCUAAUCCUUCAUUAAAUCAAACGACCCACGUACAGUGUGUGUUGAUCGAGACAUGAGCUAAUCAGACCUAUUUGUUUGUUUUGUACCAAGCUGUAAACAUGUUAAUCUCUGCUGUAAAAACAGACUUUUUGAAUGUGGUUUUUCAGAUUAAAUAAAUAUUUCUAUAUAAAUGCAA
Long non-coding RNA from Labrus mixtus (cuckoo wrasse), 537 nucleotides. RefSeq lists it as uncharacterized. The transcript is spliced from 2 exons. Lineage: Eukaryota; Metazoa; Chordata; Actinopteri; Labriformes; Labridae. The record is from RefSeq and is a predicted model, not a curated record.